This 367-nucleotide long non-coding RNA is filed under the name Setaria italica (foxtail millet). RNAcentral describes it as "long non-coding RNA (SITA_LNC000121)". The record is from RNAcentral. Lineage: Eukaryota; Viridiplantae; Streptophyta; Magnoliopsida; Poales; Poaceae.
UGACCAAUUUUGUCGUUUGCAGAAAAUUUUUUACGCGAUCCUUGUCUGUUUCUAACCAUUGAUUUCGAUAUAUGUGCUAGUUCCAAAUUAUAGAUCGUUUUGAUUUUUUAUUAUCUUAUCCCUAUAAGAUCUUCCUCCACUAGCAGGGCAAACAGGCCUAUAACAGAGGAGUACUUUUUUUAGAUAGCCUCGCUUAUGAGAGUACAAGUUGUAUUAUCUGACACAUAAACACACUCCACACACACCCGUCUAGGAAAAAUCAUAGAAAAUCCUCCCGAAAUCCGCUUCCGGAGAGGUCCGAACCUAGGACCUCCUACUGAGGCUAAUGCUACUUGGGCUUCCGGUGACCAACCGGUCCCAGACCCGU